AGAAGCCAGCACUGAGCAGGCUCCUGGAAGAGGCUUGUGGAGAAAGGGGCCUGUGUUGGAGCAGAUCUGCUGGCAGGACUUGUGGCCACUUGAGGAACUUAGGCUGCCUUAGUCACUGGUUCAAGUAAAUGAACAAGAUACUAGGAGGUAAGGUUUCAGGAGUGCUGUCUGCUGAGGUGCUCCAUGACCACUAGAGUGGCCAUAAAUGGAAUCCAACAGCAGGAUGUGGGACAACCCAAAGAUGUCAUCAGGACAUGCAGUCAGUCUUGUUCAUUCUGCCAUGUUAGAGUACUUUGGGGAAGGAAAGAAACCUCAAGAUUCCUAUUUAUAUUUUCAGGACCCAAUAUAUGUUGAACAGAUUUUUGACUUUUCCAAGGAGCUUCAGCUGAAAAUUAAAGUCAAGUUCUCAGUUAGUGUAGAAGUAGUAAUGCUGCAGUUUGUGUCUCUGAUGAUCUUUUAGGUAACCACUGAAGGAAUGAGUUCAACUAAAUGUAACUUCAUAUACACAAAACCAGCUCAGCCACUUUUCAGACAGAAAUGGCUCAGCAGUACAUCAGGGUUCUGCUAUCCAGAACAGACUAAUUUUAUAAAGGUUGUCAUUAAAAUUGUACAAGUACUAUUGUUUUAAUCUGUGAUUCACUUAAGUGAUAAGUAGUCUGAUUCAUCUGUUCAUGUCAAUAGAGAAAAUUUGCAAUGACUUCAAAAAAAUUUGGAAUAAGCACCAACUCAAGCAAGCCAGAGGCUGACUUUCAGAUCUUGGCUGUGUACUUUUAAAACAAAGUAACUUUACUCUAGUUUUCAUCUGCAACUGAGUAAGGUUGGCAAAACAUGGAAGUGUUUAAAUUUUAUUGAACCUGUGGACAUUCAUAUCUCUGUAUAUGACCCUUUCAUGUUUCCUUCAAAUUGAAUUACUCUGAAAUUUUCCAAGGUGUCUUAGUGAGCUAAGUAAGAACAGACCUUAAAAACUCUUUCUUCCCUCCAUCCCAGCUCUACCUUCUCCCUGCCAGCAGUGCAGGCAGAAGGCAAUGGGGGUUAUGGUUGGUUCAUCACACAUUGUUUCUGCUGCUGCUCUGGGAAGAGAGUCUUUCCUCUGCUUCAGCAGGGUUCCCUCCCAUGAGAACAGCUCUCAGUGAACUUCUCCAGCCUGAAUCCAUCUCAGAGACAGCAGUUCUCCAUAAACAGCUACAAUCUGGGUCACUUUCGGGGUGCAGUCCUUCAGGAGCAGCCCGAUCCAGUGUGGGUGCCCCAUGGGGUCACACGUCCUACAGAAAGCCUGGUGGAUUUCUGUUUAGCUGGGGGUUAGUGUAAGGCAAGGCUGUGCUUCAACCACCAGACACCUUCUCUGAACUGGCUUCAAGUGAAACUUGAUGUAAUCGUUCUCUCUGAAAAUAUUGCUCUGUGUAGGGAAACCACACUUGGACAAGGAACACGAAGCAUUACAAAGAUUGCCCUAAAAUUAAAGGUUUGUUUUGAA
This is a long non-coding RNA of Zonotrichia leucophrys gambelii, 1474 nucleotides long. RefSeq lists it as uncharacterized. The transcript has 4 exons. The record is from RefSeq and is a predicted model, not a curated record. Lineage: Eukaryota; Metazoa; Chordata; Aves; Passeriformes; Passerellidae.